AGUGAACGCUGGCGGUAGGCCUAACACAUGCAAGUCGAACGGCAGCACAGUAAGAGCUUGCUCUUACGGGUGGCGAGUGGCGGACGGGUGAGGAAUACAUCGGAAUCUACUUUUUCGUGGGGGAGAACGUAGGGAAACUUACGCUAAUACCGCAUACGACCUACGGGUGAAAGCAGGGGAUCUUCGGACCUUGCGCGAUUGAAUGAGCCGAUGUCGGAUUAGCUAGUUGGCGGGGUAAAGGCCCACCAAGGCCACGGUCGGUAGGUGGUCUGAGAGGAUGGUCAGCCGCACUGGAACUGAGACACGGUCCAGACUCCUUCGGGAGGCAGCAGGGGGUAAUAUUGGACAAUGGGCGCAAGCCAGAUCCAGCCAUACCGCGUGGGUGAAGAAGGCCUUCCGGUUGUAAAGCCCUUUUGUUGGGAAAGAAAAGCAGCAGGUUAAUACCCCGCUGUUCUGACGGUACCCAAAGAAUAAGCACCGGCUAACUUCGUG
RNAcentral lists this ribosomal RNA (492 nucleotides) under uncultured bacterium. RNAcentral describes it as "partial 16S ribosomal RNA". It matches the Rfam family "Bacterial small subunit ribosomal RNA", at positions 29 to 507 of the family's 1533-position model. The record is from RNAcentral.